This 52-nucleotide transfer RNA is filed under the name Tetranychus urticae (two-spotted spider mite). RNAcentral's name for it is "tRNA-Leu". Lineage: Eukaryota; Metazoa; Arthropoda; Arachnida; Trombidiformes; Tetranychidae. The record is from RNAcentral.
UUCAUUAAAGUAUAAAAUAUAUUAAGUUUAGAACUUAAAGAUUUAAAUGAAA